Molecule: long non-coding RNA, 723 nt
Organism: Ictalurus punctatus (channel catfish)
Lineage: Eukaryota; Metazoa; Chordata; Actinopteri; Siluriformes; Ictaluridae
Source: Ensembl
GAACCUCGUGUGGUGCUGUCAUAUGUAAAACGUAAACUCUGUCGGAGGCUAUGUGUCUGUUGUUAGUAAUAUAAAGGUAAGUUUGUGUAUCAACUGUCUCUGCGUUUUAUACAGAAAUAUCUGCGGUUCUGCUUUUCAACCCGCAUUUAAUACCCGCUUUAGUUAAUCCAGGCUUCGAUUACAUCAGAUGUGUCUGAGGUCAACUGAAAGGAGUUAAAUUUUUCGGAACGUGUUGCUGAACACGUUCAGUUAUUGUUGUAUUAUCAUCAUACGAUACAGGUGUUUAAUGUUCACAUGAACACGUAGUGUGAGUUUUAAUCUUUUGUUAUUGACGAGGCUGGACGAGAACGUUGUUUCCUUUGCCAACGAAUCGACUCUCAGGUGAAUAUGCGUAGUCGACUCUUUUAGGUGAACAUGCGUAUUCGACUCUUUUAGGUGACGUUUAAGUGCCGACUCUUUUAGGUGAAAUAUGCGGAGUCGACUCUUUCAGGUGAAUAUUAGGAGUCGAAUCCUUUAGGUGAAUAUUAAGAGCCGACUCUUUUAGGUGAACAUUAACAGCCGACUCUUUUUAGUGAAUAUUAAGAGCCGACUCUUUACGGUGAAUAUUGAGCGCCGACGCUUUUAGGUGAAUCUUGAGCGCCGACACUUUUAGACGCAUAUUCGGAGCCGAAUCUUUUAGGCGAAUAUUCGGAGUCGACUCUUUUUAGGCAAAUAUUGGGAUAC